Molecule: long non-coding RNA, 1924 nt
Organism: Haliotis rufescens (red abalone)
Lineage: Eukaryota; Metazoa; Mollusca; Gastropoda; Lepetellida; Haliotidae
Exons: 2
Source: RefSeq, a predicted model, not a curated record
UAAUUUUUCAAAAAUAGUCUCCGCUUGUUGAUAUGUUUCUGUGCAUGCAGUGCGUCAAAUGAUCUAAAUGUAUCGUAUUAUUCAGAAGUGGCAGGGUUUAAGAAUGCAGUUUGCCGGUCAUUUUCACUGAGCGUCAGUGUUGAUAUUAAUAUGAUACACAGAACUUGAUGAUAGAGGUGAAGGGGGCCCAAGACUUUUUUCCAUAUUAUUAUUUUAUGGAUACCAAGGGUAAUUGCCAAGGGCAAGCGGUAUAUUUUUGACCAGAAUUCAAUCUGGUGGCGUUUUGUGGCCGUCAUAUUAUGUUCGGGUUUCGUUCGUAAGCGUGUAGAUUUGUAAAUAGGCCUAACUUAUGCAUCGCCUACUGACCGCACUGACAGUUAUCGCCAUUUCUUCUGUGUUAUUUCUGAAAUCAUUACUAUUUAAAGUUUACAUGUACUAAUCUUCUGACUUUGAUUUUUGUGCAACAAUGUGGCUCAUCCAGGCCAUGGGAAAGGUUAAGUAGAUUUCUCUUAUACAGCGAAAAGAGGGAAUCAAAACAAUGGAAGUAUUCAGAUCGACUCUCUGUAGGCUGCUAGUUAUAGCCCAAGUCUAAAGUGAUCAAUGAUGUUAUGAAAAAAGUCGUAUUUUCGGGAAGAGACAGAAACAUACUUGAUGUUUCCGAAAAGGCCUAAUUAGCACUGACUGAAGUAUCCUAAAUGUGGAUCAUCAGGUUGUUGCUGCUGUCUAUAAAGUUUAUCAUAGCAAGGUGCUUAUCAUGUGUAUUUUUAUUAUUUCCGAAAAAAGAAUCAAUUCAUCAUUUUCCGAUAACUAGAUCUAUGUCUGACUCCUUUCUAAUGAAAACGAGCAAAAGUAAAACGAGUCUCUCGUCGCGCGCUAUAACGGGGUGUUUGCGGUAUUGUCCUCUCUGGUGAUGAUAAGCUAGUCGAUAGUCAAAAGUUAAAUAUCACCAUAUAUUGUCAGUGAGUUGGUCAUCGUUUGUUGAUUAUUAAAGUGAGAUAGGUGUAGCCAAUGUGCACCAAUGAAAAAUACAAUGGAAUUGAUAGCAACCAUAUUCUUUCGGUUUUCGAUCUGCAUAUGUUGCCACGUAGGCUACCAUACUACAGAAUUAUAUUUAACGAUAUUUAACUGUAUUAGAUCUAUGUUAAUAAACGUAGUGACAAAUAAAUUUCAAUAAAUAUUUAGAGCUGUUUCAACUUCGUCUGGUAUUGUAUAAGCUAUUGCAUUUUGUUUAUUUCCCCAUGUUUCUAAUCUUUGUAAAUGUUAGAACAUAUAUAACUAUCCUGGCAUAUUAAUAUGGAAAAUAUUAAGGUAGAUCUAAGUAUUAAAAAAAAUCACAGUUUUAAUUAGGAUAAAUACCCAAAAGUGUUAACACUUUUAUCACUUAUUGGUGGGCCAAUUCAUAAUUCAUAUUCAACAUUCUUGCUUCAAAUAUGGGAACUAUUUAUUUUAUUUGGCAAUAUAUAUUUUUCAUUUAUGUACAUAUUUUUCAAAUAAGGUUUUAGAAACUUGGCCAUGAUAUUCACUUGAAUCACUAGUUUGAGUGUACAGCAGAAAGGUAAAGUUACUGCUUUUGAAAAACUACAGUUGAUCUGUUGACUGAUAAAACUAUUUGCCAAUAUUACUAUCAGUUACAUCAUACUCUAUUAGUCUAAGUAAAUGGGAUUUAUCUAUACAGUACUGGUUUAUUUAAGAAUGUGAUACUUUGUGGUUUCUGUUUUUCUUUCAGGUGGAGAAAACAGUAUUGUGGGAGCGUAUUUGUUUAAAGUACAUAUCACUGACAGAAAGUUACCAAGGCAUAAGGAGAGACUGAGGAUACAGUUGAAGAUCAUCCCUGUGACUUUUCAUUUGAGGACUGAAAAGGCUCCCCAGCAACUCAGCCCAUGUUCUGACUUGUCAUUUAACAAAUAAAUAAAGGUCACCUCAA